AAAUUAUCACGGUCGCGAGACGCUCGCAUGGGCAUUGUCAUCACGAUAAUUCAUUGUACAAUGAAUCAUCGUGAUGACAAUGCCCACGCGAGCGUCUCGCGACCGUGAUAAUU
Molecule: non-coding RNA, 113 nt
Organism: Paramuricea clavata
Lineage: Eukaryota; Metazoa; Cnidaria; Anthozoa; Malacalcyonacea; Plexauridae
Source: the annotation of a GenBank genome assembly